CGCUACCUGCAGUCGAGCGAGAAAGUGGGGCAACCCAUGAGUAAAGCGGCGUACGGGUGAGUAACACGUGGAUGAUCUACCUUCUAGUGGGGAAUAACCCUGGGAAACCGGGGCUAAUACCGCAUAAGCACGAGAGUGGAAAGCAGCAAUGCGCUGGAAGAGGAGUCCGCGGCCGAUUAGCUAGUUGGCAGGGUAAGAGCCUACCAAGGCAAAGAUCGGUAGCCGGCCUGAGAGGGCACACGGCCACACUGGCACUGAAACACGGGCCAGACUCCUACGGGAGGCAGCAGUGGGGAAUCUUGCACAAUGGGGGAAACCCUGAUGCAGCGACGCCGCGUGAGCGAUGAAGCCCUUCGGGGUGUAAAGCUCUUUCGGCAGGGAAGAUGAUGACGGUACCUGCAGAAGCAGCUGCGGCUAACUACGUGCCAGCAGCCGCGGUAAUACGUAGGCAGCAAGCGUUGUUCGGAGUUACUGGGCGUAAAGGGUGUGUAGGCGGUUGUUUAAGUUUGGUGUGAAAUCUCCCGGCUCAACUGGGAGGGUGCGCCGAAUACUGAAUGACUAGAGUGCGGGAGAGGCAAGUGGAAUUCCUGGUGUAGCGGUGAAAUGCGUAGAUAUCAGGAGGAACACCGGUGGUGUAGACGGCUUGCUGGACCGUAACCGACGCUGAGACACGAAAGCGUGGGUAGCAAACAGGAUUAGAUACCCUGGUAGUCCACGCCCUAAACGAUGCAUAUUUGGUGUGGGCAGUUCAUUCUGUCCGUGCCGGAGCUAACGCGUUAAAUAUGCCGCCUGGGGAGUACAGUCGCAAGGCUGAAGCUCAAAGGAAUUGACGGGGGCCCGCACAAGCGGU
Molecule: ribosomal RNA, 850 nt
Filed under: uncultured bacterium
Lineage: Bacteria
Description: bacterial SSU rRNA
Rfam family: Bacterial small subunit ribosomal RNA
Source: RNAcentral